AAGUCGUAACAAGGUCUCCGUUGGUGAACCAGCGGAGGGAUCAUUACAGAGUUAUCUAAACUCCCAAACCCAUGUGAACAUACCUCGCGUUGCCUCGGCAGGUGGCGUCCUACCCCGUGAUACCUACCCUGUAGGACCUACCCGGUAGGCGACCCUGCCGACGGCCCCCGAAACUCUGUUUUUCAUAGCAUUGGACUUCUGAAAGAUAACUAAAUAAGUUAAAA
RNAcentral lists this unclassified non-coding RNA (224 nucleotides) under plant metagenome. Its description in RNAcentral is "partial contains small subunit ribosomal RNA and internal transcribed spacer 1". The stretch from base 1 to 46 matches the Rfam family "Eukaryotic small subunit ribosomal RNA", at positions 1786 to 1831 of the family's 1831-position model. The record is from RNAcentral.